RNAcentral lists this long non-coding RNA (1009 nucleotides) under Cairina moschata (Muscovy duck). Its description in RNAcentral is "domestica (muscovy Duck (domestic type)) lncRNA (ENSCMMG00000002462.1)". Lineage: Eukaryota; Metazoa; Chordata; Aves; Anseriformes; Anatidae. The record is from RNAcentral.
CAUGUGGCAGGCUGUUGUAAUCCAUCUCUAUUACAUAACCCAGCAAAUAUUCUGCUAAAGUUCAGUUAUAUUGCAGGGCUGGUGAUGGCGAGGAUCAGAUUCUCCUUUACAACUUCUUCCCCUUUGGAAAUCAGGGCAGUUACACGCAAGUGACAGCUUUUCCUCUGCUCACCAAGUCCAGUGAGCAGGCAAAGGCGCUGUGUUCGCCUUCAUACCGGGCAUGUUCUGCUCGUCGAGGAGCAGGUGGGCUCUCACAGUGAACUCAUCCAGUGGUCCAUCCCGCCUGUGCAUUUCAUAAGAAAAAUUCCAUGUUGAGGUGAGAUGGAAAGCUCUGUGGUGGUGAAGGGGAGGUGAAGCAGUUUUGUGUCUUUUCUUUUACAUAUUCUAUGAGUGCAACAUUGAGCACACGCUAUAAUUUACAAUGACUUUGCCAGCAUAAAUUUACUAAUAUUUCACCCACAAUAAUUUUACCAACUGGACACUUUUUUUUUUUUCCAGCCUGUUCUGGCAGAGGAACUCACACAGAUAGAAAUCUGAUGGUGCAAUUGUACUAAAGAAAACCCUGCAAGCACAGCCAGGACUAAUUACUCUAACCUCAGACCUGGCUGCUGUCCACACGACGAGGCUCUGUGCCGGCACAUGGACUAGCAGAGUUUGUAGAGGAACAAACUGAUGGAGAAACAGGAAUGAAAGGCUACACUUGUGCAACCUUUAUGGCCCCAGAAAUACUUCAACAUACAAUGAAGAUGUUAUGCCAGUAAGUUUUGGUCCAUAGAUGCUACUACUUAGUAAGCCCAUAGGGUUAAGCCUAGAAAAAUGAGGAUCUUGAAGGCAUUUUAAAAUUCAUCUGUAUCUUGUAACCAAGUAAAGUUAUGUAAUUGCCUGUGCUGAUGUAAAGACGUGGAUGUAACCUUGAGACAUGGCUAUUCCUUUGGUAUUUGACAGAUUGUUGGUGAUCGUUUUCCAGAAUGAAUGGACUCCAGAGUGGGUUGAACAGGGUGGAGGAAGC